This 510-nucleotide ribosomal RNA is filed under the name uncultured bacterium. RNAcentral describes it as "bacterial SSU rRNA". It matches the Rfam family "Bacterial small subunit ribosomal RNA", at positions 15 to 518 of the family's 1533-position model. The record is from RNAcentral.
GAUUAUGGCUCAGGAUGAACGCUAGCGACAGGCUUAACACAUGCAAGUCGAGGGGCAGCAUAGAAGUAGCAAUACUUGGUGGCGACCGGCGCACGGGUGAGUAACGCGUAUGCAACCUACCUAUCAGAGGGGAAUAACCCGGCGAAAGUCGGACUAAUACCGCAUAAAACAGGGGCACCGCAUGGUGAUAUUUGUUAAAGAAAUUCGCUGAUAGAUGGGCAUGCGUUCCAUUAGGUAGUUGGUGAGGUAACGGCUCACCAAGCCGACGAUGGAUAGGGGAACUGAGAGGUUGGUCCCCCACACUGGUACUGAGACACGGACCAGACUCCUACGGGAGGCAGCAGUGAGGAAUAUUGGUCAAUGGGCGGGAGCCUGAACCAGCCAAGUCGCGUGAAGGAAGAAGGAUCUAUGGUUCGUAAACUUCUUUUGCAGGGGAAUAAAGUGCAGGACGUGUCCUGUUUUGUAUGUACCCUGAGAAUAAGGAUCGGCUAACUCCGUGCCAGCAGCGGC